UGCAUAUGAGAAUAAGGCGAUGGAGAUGGGACUGAGCUAAAGGGGGGUGACUGUCGAGGAAUGGUGGUAUGCAUGUGGUUUGGGCUAGGUGAUGAUACCGGAUUGAUGUAGUACAGGUUCGAUAAAGGAAACGAUUAUGGUGAGUGGGUCUUAAAUGAAGGGAUUGUGGUGGUUAGGAGUUGCAUCCAGUUGAUUGUUGAGGGAGUGA
RNAcentral lists this unclassified non-coding RNA (208 nucleotides) under Hevea brasiliensis (rubber tree). The record is from RNAcentral. Lineage: Eukaryota; Viridiplantae; Streptophyta; Magnoliopsida; Malpighiales; Euphorbiaceae.